GACUGCGCUUCUGCUCAUUAGGACUACGCCGCCCACUGUGGCCGCCGCUUUUGCUCGCUCCGACCACAUGGCCGCCGCUUCCGCUCGCUUCAAAGACGCUGCCGGUUCCGCCGGGGCCCCGCGGAAAGCGCCGUCUCGGCUUCCGUAGAGGCGCGCACACCAAUAGCGUCAUAGCGACUGGCUGCAGCACCACCCCCUCUUAAAGGGGCCGCGGCUCGGACUGCACAGAAGCAGCUUCGCGUUGCGGCACAGGCUGAGCCUCUGCCCAGCCCCAGCGGUAGACCAAAGGGUCUUGCAUGCAGGCUGGAGUGCGGUGACACGGUCACAGCUCACUGCAACCUUGACCUACUGGAUUCAAGGGCCUUCCCACCUCAGCUUCUCAAGUAAUUGGGACCACAGCUGUUGGCUGGACACAGUGGCUUACAUCUGUAAUUCCGGAAUUGGGGAGGCUAAGGUGGGUGAAGUGCUUGAACCCAGAAGUUUGAGACCAGCCUAGGCGACAUGGCAAAACCGAGUCUCUACAUCUCGACACAAACAAACAAACCUGAAAUUAGCCGGUCAUCUGCAGUCCCAGCUAUGUACUCAGGAAACUAAGGCCAGCGGAUCUGUUGAGUCCUGGAGAUCGAGGCUGCAGUGAGCCACGAUCAUACCACUGCACUCCAGCCUGGGCAACAGAAAGAGACCCUGUCUCAAAAAAUAAUAAAGUACAUAAAUAAAUAAAUAAACUGUUGAUUGGGAGCCGUGUAUGCACCAGGCCCUAAGCGGGGCAUGAUGAGAUGGGAUGAAGAGUCUGGAGACUUGGGAAAGGCUGCACCUCUGGAGGGAGGCCGCAGCUUCUCCUUCAUCAAAGAGGUCC
RNAcentral lists this long non-coding RNA (856 nucleotides) under Callithrix jacchus (white-tufted-ear marmoset). RNAcentral describes it as "lncRNA (ENSCJAG00000070899.1)". Lineage: Eukaryota; Metazoa; Chordata; Mammalia; Primates; Cebidae. The record is from RNAcentral.